GAAAUACGAGAUUCUAAGGAUGAAACAGA
This 29-nucleotide small RNA is filed under the name Arabidopsis thaliana (thale cress). RNAcentral's name for it is "ATSL245270". Lineage: Eukaryota; Viridiplantae; Streptophyta; Magnoliopsida; Brassicales; Brassicaceae. The record is from RNAcentral.